UUGUCCCCUCCUCUCCUCUCCCAUCGCGUCGUCCUCCCCGGGCGACUCGAGAGACGACGCUGCCGCCGCCCCCUUCCUCUUCAACGCCUCCUCCCUCACCUCGCCGCCGCCUGAGCGGGCGCUGGCAAAGCCGUGCGCUCGCAAGGACGGUGGCGGCGGGGCCUUGUCUCACCUCCCCUUUGCGCCCAACGGCUGGGGACGCCGCUUAGAGUGGUGGUGGCGGUGCCCAGAUCCGCGCCGUGGCCGGCCGGAUCUGGGGGAGCGAUAGCCGGUGGCAGGGAAUG
RNAcentral lists this long non-coding RNA (284 nucleotides) under Oryza sativa (Asian cultivated rice). RNAcentral's name for it is "long non-coding RNA (OSAT_LNC000125)". Lineage: Eukaryota; Viridiplantae; Streptophyta; Magnoliopsida; Poales; Poaceae. The record is from RNAcentral.